GACGAACGCUGGCGGCGUGCUUAACACAUGCAAGUCGAACGGAAAGGCCCUGCUUUUGUGGGGUGCUCGAGUGGCGAACGGGUGAGUAAUAUAUAGGUAACAUGCCUUUUACAAAGAAAUAACAGUUGGAAACGAGUGCUAAUGUCUUAUAUGCCUUUAGGACGUAAGUCUGCAAGGGAAAGAUUUAUCGGUAAAAGAUUGGCCUGUACAGUAUCAGUUAGUUGGUGGGGUAAUGGCCGACCAAGACAAUGACGCUUAACUGGUUUGAGAGGAUGAUCAGUCACACUGGAACUGAGACACGGUCCAG
This 307-nucleotide ribosomal RNA is filed under the name uncultured bacterium. Its description in RNAcentral is "bacterial SSU rRNA". It matches the Rfam family "Bacterial small subunit ribosomal RNA", at positions 28 to 334 of the family's 1533-position model. The record is from RNAcentral.